GCGGAGGGGGCUAGCGUUGUUCGGAAUUACUGGGCGUAAAGCGCACGUAGGCGGACCGGAAAGUUGGAGGUGAAAUCCCAGGGCUCAACCUUGGAACUGCCUUCAAAACUAUCGGUCUGGAGUUCGAGAGAGGUGAGUGGAAUUCCGAGUGUAGAGGUGAAAUUCGUAGAUAUUCGGAGGAACACCAGUGGCGAAGGCGGCUCACUGGCUCGAUACUGACGCUGAGGUGCGAAAGCGUGGGGAGCAAACAGGA
Molecule: ribosomal RNA, 253 nt
Filed under: uncultured prokaryote
Description: partial 16S ribosomal RNA
Rfam family: Bacterial small subunit ribosomal RNA
Source: RNAcentral